AGACACCCCUUCUCCCCAGUACCCUGCAACAAAACACUAAACAGACUAUUUAACUUGAGUCUAAUAAAUUUAGAAUAAAGUUGUACAGAGAUGUGCAGGAGGAAAGAUAUCCUUCUGCCUUUUUAUUUUUUAUUUUUUUAAGUUGUAACAAAAUAUAUUUGAGUAACUGUUUCUUGUACAGUUCAGUUCCUCUUUGCCUGGAACUUGUUAAGUUUAUGUCUGAAGGGCUUCAGUCUCAAAGGACCUGGGGCUGCUAUGUUUUGAUGACUUUUCCUGCAUAUCUACCUCAUUGAUCAAGUAUUAGGGGUAAUACAUUGCUGCUGGUAAUUUGUAUCUGAAGGAGACCUUCCUUCCUGCACCCUUGGACUGGAAGAUACUGAGUCUCUCGGACCUUUCGCUGUGAACAUGGACUCUCCUCGCCCCUCUUAUUUGCUCAAACGGGGUGUUGUAGGCAGGGACUUGAGGGGCAGCUUUGGUUGUUUUCCUGAGCAAAGUCUAAAGUUUACAGUAAAUAAAUUGUUUGACCAUGACUUCAUUGCACCUGUUUCUCCAAAACCCCUUGACUGGAGUGUGCUUGCCUCCCCCACUGGAAACUGCAGGUUCCCUGGCAUUGCCUGUCCCCCCUGCACCCCAGAAGGAGCCCCCCAGCUCUUGGAACUUUCCACUUUGCCCUAAAGAGAGGUGAAGAUGCUGGACUAAGUCCAUGUGUACCCUGAACACCGUUCACAGGACCAUGCCACAGGAAUGAUAUCCAACAAAAGACAAGUUCAUGCUUGGGCUCAAGUACUGGAUCAGGAACCAGGAACCCCUAAAUAACUCAUGAACACAGAAGAAGUUACAAAAUAGUUGUCCACAACUGGGAUCUGACUCACAGGUAUGUUUUGUUUGGCCAAGAAAUGCUUUCACAUGUUUUUGAAAUAUAUUGCCACCAUUUAAAAUUAGAUUUCAUAUAAGAUUCAGAUUUUUAACCUGCAUGACAACAAUUACCUGGAGCUACUGCAUACGCCUCCUCACUUUCUGCAGGUGACCACCUGUCCACUCUGUUUCAUCCAUCUGCUCUGUGGACCUGAGCUGAGCUGACCUGCAGCGCCAUGUACCUGCCCUAGCCUGCACUGCAGAGUCCCACAACAAUCCUUCAAAGAUCUGCAGACAGUGACCUUGGAAUGGCCCCUCAAGUUCUCUGCCCGCAACUGAAACUCUCCACACCAGUUCCUUCAGUUGUCCCUCCUUUGCUUCUGGCAGUAGUGUCCUCCCUGUCCUGUUACUCUCUCUGACCGCACUCCCGUGGUCAGCGUCCCUCUUAAAGGGAUACAUUCAGAACAAUGCUCCCUAGGGUGCGGGGCUGACCCAAGCAGAGGAUUUAAAAGAAGUUUUUAUAUUACACACUACUAAUUUUUAUCCUGGCAAACAGACCAGCAAGAGUAUGCCAACUUAAAUUGAAAGUAGCCUUCAGCAAGCAAAGCUCACGCUCUCUCUCUUAAGACUCCAGCUAAAUAGAGUAAUACCUGGGGGAAGAACAUCAAAUCAUUUCCUGAGACUCUAUGUGGGCAUACCUGGAACAAUGUGGGAGGAAUGACAAGCAUCCUGAAACAAUUUUUCAUUUGUAAAUAUAAGCACUGAGAAGAAUCUAAGGAAAAUAAUUGUAAAAGCCCUUGUAAAAUGAGUGAUCUAACUG
Bos indicus x Bos taurus (hybrid cattle) is the source of this 1675-nucleotide long non-coding RNA. NCBI's taxonomy places the organism in Eukaryota, Metazoa, Chordata, Mammalia, Artiodactyla, Bovidae. The record is from Ensembl.